UUGACGGAAGGGCACCACCAGGCGUGGAGCCUGCGGCUUAAUUUGACUCAACACGGGGAAACUCACCAGGUCCAGACACAAUAAGGAUUGACAGAUUGAGAGCUCUUUCUUGAUUUUGUGGGUGGUGGUGCAUGGCCGUUCUUAGUUGGUGGAGUGAUUUGUCUGCUUAAUUGCGAUAACGAACGAGACCUUAACCUGCUAAAUAGCCCGGCCCGCUUUGGCGGGUCGCCGGCUUCUUAGAGGGACUAUCGGCUCAAGCCGAUGGAAGUUUGAGGCAAUAAC
This 282-nucleotide ribosomal RNA is filed under the name Aureobasidium pullulans. RNAcentral's name for it is "partial 18S ribosomal RNA". It matches the Rfam family "Eukaryotic small subunit ribosomal RNA", at positions 1153 to 1457 of the family's 1831-position model. The record is from RNAcentral. Lineage: Eukaryota; Fungi; Ascomycota; Dothideomycetes; Dothideales; Saccotheciaceae.